Molecule: small RNA, 747 nt
Filed under: Pan troglodytes (chimpanzee)
Lineage: Eukaryota; Metazoa; Chordata; Mammalia; Primates; Hominidae
Description: processed transcript
Source: RNAcentral
CCAGGUGCCCGAUGACCAAGACUUUCGCAGCUUCCGGUCAGAGUGUGAGGCUGAGGUGGGCUGGAACCUGACCUAUAGCAGGGCUGGGGUGUCUGUCUGGGUGCAGGCUGUGGAGAUGGAUCGGACGCUGCACAAGAUCAAGUGCCGGAUGGAGUGCCGUGAUGUGCCAGCCGAGACACUCUACGACGUCCUACACGACAUUGAGUACCGCAAGAAAUGGGACAGCAACGUCAUUGAGACUUUUGACAUCGCCCGCUUGACAGUCAACGCUGACGUGGGCUAUUACUCCUGGAGGUGUCCCAAGCCCCUGAAGAACCGUGAUGUCAUCACCCUCCGCUCCUGGCUCCCCAUGGGCGCUGAUUACAUCAUUAUGAACUACUCAGUCAAACAUCCUGCUCCUUACCCAAGUGGGUGGUGAAUAAAUCUUCUCAGUUCCUGGCUCCCAAGGCCAUGAAGAAGAUGUACAAGGCGUGCCUCAAGUACCCCGAGUGGAAACAGAAGCACCUGCCUCACUUCAAGCCGUGGCUGCACCCGGAGCAGAGCCCGUUGCCGAGCCUGGCGCUGUCGGAGCUGUCGGUGCAGCAUGCGGACUCACUGGAGAACAUCGACGAGAGCGCGGUGGCCGAGAGCAGAGAGGAGCGGAUGGGCGGCGCGGGCGGCGAGGGCAGCGACGACGACACCUCGCUCACCUGAGCGCCGCACCGCUUCAGGGACGGAGACAGGACCGGGCGAGCCCUGGGGCGGUGG